This 424-nucleotide ribosomal RNA is filed under the name uncultured bacterium. Its description in RNAcentral is "bacterial SSU rRNA". It matches the Rfam family "Bacterial small subunit ribosomal RNA", at positions 83 to 501 of the family's 1533-position model. The record is from RNAcentral.
UUCUGGCGGCGAGCGGCGAACGGGUGAGUAAUGUAUCGGAACGUACCUCGUCGUGGGGGAUAACGCAGCGAAAGUUGUGCUAACACCGCAUACGUCCUGAGGGAGAAAGCGGGGGACCUGCAAGGGCCUCGCGCGAUGAGAGCGGCCGAUAUCUGAUUAGCUAGUUGGUAGGGUAAAGGCCUACCAAGGCGACGAUCAGUAGCUGGUCUGAGAGGACGACCAGCCACACUGGGACUGAGACACGGCCCAGACUCCUACGGGAGGCAGCAGUGGGGAAUUUUGGACAAUGGGGGGAACCCUGAUCCAGCCAUUCCGCGUGAGUGAAGAAGGCCUUCGGGUUGUAAAGCUCUUUCAGCAGGAGCGAAACGGUGCGGGCUAAUACCCUGCAUCACUGACGGUACCUGAAGAAGAAGCACCGGCUAAC